GCGUCGCGAGCUGCCUGCCGUUUUUGCCUCUACCGCUGCGACGCCGACGACACGUACGCUGAGUGCUCUGUGUAGCCCCGUAGCUCCUGCCGCCUGCGCUAGUAGCGUCCCCCUAGUAGUGUAGCAGGCCGAGGCCUCUACGUCGAAUGUCAUGCAUCCGUGUAGCGUCUUACCAAGUGUACCGAUGGAAAUAGUAGUGCGUUACCUCUCGAUCUGUAAUCGUCGCACAGUGGUUGCAUUGCGGUCAGUGCUACGUAAAGUAUUAUAUCCGCGGCACGUCAAGUAUCUACAGUAGAUAGUAUCCCAAAUUUGUUACUGUUGUCGUCUCGAAUGUCUUUGAGCAAUAUACAUCUAGAUAGAGACCAUGACGGUUUUGCUGUACAGCUGCUAAGGCUCCCUAUAUGUAAUUAUGCAAAUUUGUUUUCCGCUUAGUUGGCACGAAUCAGUAUAUUACACUAAAGAUUUGAUUCUUGGGCUGAAUUGAUUGCCUUCGUCGGAAAAAUUCCGAAAGUGAGCUUAUUACCCUCUUAGCUACCUCGUCACCGACGAAGUGCGUAGAACCCUGUACCACACCCUGAAUUCAUUUCCCUGACGCUGCCUCGUCCGCUUGAGCGAGAGUACACAGCUAAUUAGG
Schistocerca serialis cubense is the source of this 634-nucleotide long non-coding RNA. RefSeq lists it as uncharacterized. NCBI's taxonomy places the organism in Eukaryota, Metazoa, Arthropoda, Insecta, Orthoptera, Acrididae. The record is from RefSeq and is a predicted model, not a curated record. The transcript is spliced from 3 exons.